GCAGGUAUAGCUCAAGUGGUAGAGCACAUGCUUAGCAUGCACGAGGUCCUGGGUUCAAUCCCUAGUACCUCCU
Molecule: transfer RNA, 73 nt
Filed under: Camelus bactrianus (Bactrian camel)
Lineage: Eukaryota; Metazoa; Chordata; Mammalia; Artiodactyla; Camelidae
Also listed under: 2 other names
Rfam family: tRNA
About the family: Transfer RNA (tRNA) molecules are approximately 80 nucleotides in length. Their secondary structure includes four short double-helical elements and three loops (D, anti-codon, and T loops).
Source: Rfam by way of RNAcentral